Molecule: non-coding RNA, 508 nt
Rfam family: Saccharopolyspora sRNA 350
Source: Rfam
UUGGCGGUGUACUCCCACUCGCCCUGCGGCCCGGCCAGGACGGUCUCGCCGAAGUACUCGCCGUCGGCCAGGUUGCCGAGCACGGUUUCCCCGCCGUACUCGCCGGUGCCGAUCUUGUCGACCUUGCCGUGCGCGAUCAGCACGACGGUGUCCUUCGGACGACCCUUCUCGACGAUGAGGUCGCCGAUGCCGAACUCCUGCUGCUGGAAGCGGCCGGAGAGCGCGGCGAGCACGGCCUCGUCGUCGAAGCCCUUGAGCAGCGACAGCUCGGUCAGCUCGGCGGGCACGACGCGGAUCUCCGCGCCGAUGUUGGUGAACGAGACGCGGCCAUCGCCCAACGUGUAGGUGAGCCGGCGGUUGACGCGGUACGCACCACCCGCGGCCUGGACCCAGGGCAGCACCUUGAGCAGCCAGCGGGAAGUGAUUCCCUGCAUCUGCGGGACGGACUUGGUGGUAGUGGCCAGAUUACGUGCGGCGGCCGUGCCCAAACUCAGCUGCUGACGGCCCU